UCGAGCGGUAGGCCCCUUCGGGGGUACACGAGCGGCGGACGGCUGAGUAACACGUAGGAACGUACCCCAAACUGAGGGAUAAGCACCAGAAAUGGUGUCUAAUACCGCAUGUGGUCUUCGGAUUAAAGCUUCGGCGGUUUGGGAACGGCCUGCGCAUGAUUAGCUUGUUGGUGAGGUAAUAGCUCACCAAGGCGACGAUCAUUAGCUGGUCUGAGAGGAUGAUCAGCCAGACUGGAACUGAGAACGGUCCAGACUCCUACGGGAGGCAGCAGUAGGGAAUUUUCCACAAUGGGCGAAAGCCUGAUGGAGCAACGCCGCGUGCAGGACGAAGGCCUUCGGGUCGUAAACUGCUUUUAUAUGUGACGAUUAUGACGGUAGCAUAUGAAUAAGGAUCGGCUAACUCCGUGCCAGCAGCCGCGGUCAUACGGAGGAUCCAAGCGUUAUCCGGAAUUACUGGGCGUAAAGAGUUGCGUAGGUGGCAGUGUAAGUUGGUAGUGAAAGCGUUCGGCUCAACCGAAUAUCCAUUACCAAAACUACACAGCUAGAGGAUGAGAGAGGUUAUUGGAAUUCCUAGUGUAGGAGUGAAAUCCGUAGAUAUUAGGAGGAACACCGAUGGCGUAGGCAGAUAACUGGCUCAUUCCUGACACUAAGGCACGAAAGCGUGGGGAGCGAACUGGAUUAGAUACCCAGGUAGUCCACGCUGUAAACGAUGGAUGCUAGCUCUUAUAGGUAUCGACCCCUGUAGUAGCGAAGCUAACGCGUUAAGCAUCCCGCCUGUGGAGUACGGUCGCAAGACUAAAACAUAAAGGAAUUGACGGGGAC
RNAcentral lists this ribosomal RNA (822 nucleotides) under uncultured bacterium. Its description in RNAcentral is "bacterial SSU rRNA". It matches the Rfam family "Bacterial small subunit ribosomal RNA", at positions 62 to 920 of the family's 1533-position model. The record is from RNAcentral.